AUGUCAAGAGAGGCUCAGUUCAUGGAAAGGUUUCUAAAAAAGAGGAGAACCUCGGUGCAAGAUGAAAAUGUUGGUCCGUCACACGAAAAUAAUCAGAAUGAUGGCUCGGUCCCGACACAAUCGGAUAGACAAAUUGAUGCCUCAACACAUGAACAGAUUGAUGUUCCGACCCCGCCAUCAUCACAUGGACAAAAUGAUGCCUCCACACAUGAACCUAGUUCUGCUAAUACUACAAGAAAUUCCUUUGAAGUUGAAGAGCUCAAUUGGGAAGAAGAAAUUCAAUUUGAUCCAGGUAAAAGGAGAAGCAUAGAUGAGUACCAUCCGAAUCAGAGAGAUAUGGUAAGAAGGAAGUAUUUGGCCAAUGGCCCUUCUCAACCUCGUACUGCAGAUUUUGAAGUGACAGAAAUAUGUGGUAAAGAUAGAAGGUUCGUUCGGGAAUGGUUUGAUGAGUUUGAGAGCUGGCUUGAGUAUAGUGAGUCCAAACGAAAAGCAUAUUGUUUUUGUUGUUUCUUGUUUAGACCGCGCAAGAAGAAAGAAGCUGGAUAUGAUGCAUUUGUUGCAAAUGGUUGGUCAAGUUGGAAUAAGAAAUAUAGAUUAAGGGAGCAUGUAGGAGACAUCAAUAGUGCUCACAACCAAGCAAAAAGAGAUUGUGAUGCUUUGCUGAAACAAAAGCAACACAUUUAUGUUGCUCUAAACAACCAAAGUAACGCUGAGAGGAAUGCUUAUUAUACUCGACUAAAUGCCUCAAUUGAUGUUACUAGAGUGUUACUGAAGCAAGGGUUGCCUUUCCGUGGCCACGAUGAAUCUGACGAGUCUCUCAAUAAAGGCAAUUUCAAGGAAUUUCAUGCUUAUACAGCGGAGCAGAAUCCAGAGGUAAAAAAAGUUGUGGCCCAUAAUGCUCCAGGUAAUAAUCAGUUGACUUCUUCAAAGAUUCAGAAGGACAUAGUUGAAUGUUUUGCAAAGGAGAUAUUGCAUUCUGUUCUUCGGGAAAUUGGCAAUGAUGUAUUUUCUUUGCUGGUUGAUGAGUCAAGGGAUGUGGCUGGUAAAGAGCAAAUGGCGGUGGUGUUGCGGUAUGUUGGUAAAUGUGGAAGUGCCAUAGAGACAUUAGUUGGCCUUACUCAUGUGAAGGAGACAACUUCCAAGUAUCUCAAGUCUACCAUUGAUAAUUUAUUUGCAGAAUAUAAGUUAAGUUUCAAGCAAGUUAGAGGGCAAGGAUAUGAUGGUGCGAGCAAUAUGAGAGGUGAGUUUAAUGGCUUGCAAUCCUUAAUCAUGAGAGAGAAUAGCACAACAUAUUAUGUUCACUGUUUUGCACAUCAGCUUCAGUUAGUUGUUGUGGCUGUUGUUCGGAAGCACAAAUGCAUUGGUAAUUUUUUUGAUAUGAUCUCAUUCUUGUUGAAUGUGGUCUCUGGAUCUUCAAAGAGAAAGGACUUGAUUCGAGACAAAUAUAAAGAACAAGUGUGUGAAGCUUUAGGUUGUGGACUACUAAAAAGUGGUACAUGA
Molecule: ribosomal RNA, 1500 nt
Filed under: Triticum aestivum (bread wheat)
Lineage: Eukaryota; Viridiplantae; Streptophyta; Magnoliopsida; Poales; Poaceae
Description: partial small subunit ribosomal RNA
Source: RNAcentral